CAUGCUGUGGUGAAUACGUUCCCGGGCCUUGUACACACCGCCCGUCACACCAUGGGAGUCGGUAACACCCAAGUUGGUAGUCUAACCGCAAGGAGGACGCCGCCUAAGGUGGAUUGAUGACUGGGGUGAAGUCGUAACAAGGUAAC
This 146-nucleotide ribosomal RNA is filed under the name uncultured bacterium. RNAcentral's name for it is "partial 16S ribosomal RNA". It matches the Rfam family "Bacterial small subunit ribosomal RNA", at positions 1353 to 1500 of the family's 1533-position model. The record is from RNAcentral.